RNAcentral lists this ribosomal RNA (253 nucleotides) under uncultured bacterium. RNAcentral's name for it is "partial 16S ribosomal RNA". It matches the Rfam family "Bacterial small subunit ribosomal RNA", at positions 524 to 776 of the family's 1533-position model. The record is from RNAcentral.
GACGAACCACACAAACGUUAUUCGGAAUCACUGGGCUUAAAGGGCGCGUAGGCGGGCCACCAAGUCAGGGGUGAAAUCCCACGGCUCAACCGUGGAAGUGCCCUUGAUACUGGUGGCCUCGAGGGAGGCAGGGGCGUGCGGAACUUUGGGUGGAGCGGUGAAAUGCGUAGAUAUUGGGAGGAACACCAGUGGCGAAGGCGGCUCACUGGACCGGUACUGACGCUGAGGCGCGAAAGCGUGGGGAGCAAACGGG